Long non-coding RNA from Homo sapiens (human), 566 nucleotides. NCBI's taxonomy places the organism in Eukaryota, Metazoa, Chordata, Mammalia, Primates, Hominidae. The record is from Ensembl.
UUGGAUACUCGAGGUCCUCUGACUGAGUUUCCUAAACAAGAAAUGAUACUUCACAUGCCUGAAAAUGAAUAAUCUAGAAUAUUUCAUUAACAUUCAGCUGACCAGUUUUAAAUAAGAGCAGUUGGGAUUGCAUUCAAUUAAACUGGAGUCUAUAAGAGUGUCAUGAGGCAAGAUGGAGUUUCUUAUUGAAGGUGAAGGCCAAGCAAGACCAGCGACAGCAUCAUGACAGAGCAUCUCAUGGAACUAGUGAUCUACAAAAUACUUUGGAAGUCCUAGUACAGUUUGAGCUUGUGCAGAAAAUAUGGAGCAUUUUAAAUUGACCAAUCUUAAGUAAGUGAAGAAGACAAAGUUGGAAAGGAGUCAUGCAGCUGGAGGCUACAAGAUUCCGACCCUCCCUAAACUGCACCUAAGAUCAGUGCUUGAGAUAUUUUGCAGCCCCUGCACUUGAUGGAUCAGCUGGCACCACCCAGAUCAAUAAACUGGCUCAUCUGAUCUUCUGGACCCCCACCCAGGAAAUGAUUCAGCACAAGAAGACAGCUCUAACUCCCUAUGAUUUCAUCUCUGAC